Molecule: long non-coding RNA, 668 nt
Filed under: Fukomys damarensis (Damara mole-rat)
Lineage: Eukaryota; Metazoa; Chordata; Mammalia; Rodentia; Bathyergidae
Description: lncRNA (ENSFDAG00000023680.1)
Source: RNAcentral
AUGCCUGGCCCUGGUUUACUUCUGGAAUAUAAAAGGGGAGAGGGCACACUGAACACCCUGCUCCCUGGAAGUAGCAUCUGGCAGAGAAGAAAGCAGUUUAGAAUCAAGCUCACCUACCCACAGCUUGUACUUCUCCAUGGUGGCUGCUUGGCCACCUUCGGGUGUGAGGUGCUUUCCCUCGUGCAGACAAGGGACAGCGUGGCCCCGGGCACGGGCUCAGGACUGUCUGGGCGGCAGCUUCUGGGAGCCUUGUCUGGAAGCGGGGCAGAGAACCUUGGGCGCACAAUGGAGCCGGAUAAGCAGGUGCCGGGGAGGCACAAGGAGAGAGAGCAGCGCACAGGACCUCCACAGUGUCCGAGAGCAGACCUGGCCUGGAGUGCAGCUGAGCAGGGCCCAGGCCGUGGAGUGAGAGACGGGCCAAUCGGGCAGGGGACAGCGGGCACUGUGCCCACGGUGGAGUCAGGAGGACCAGGCCUGGGUGAGGUCCGGCGUUAAUAAGGGCCGGGUGCACAGAUAAGCCCAGGGGUGUGAUGAGCAAGACCACAGGCAAGGUGAUGGAGGGCCACUAAGGUAACUGCUGUUCCUGCCCAUCUGGAAAAAAGGUUUUCUUUCUCACUUUAUUCUGAUGGAAAACAAAUUUUAAUCCAAAUUUCAGACUAAGGGUACAC